UAAGGCACGCUGUGAAUGCCA
Molecule: microRNA, 21 nt
Filed under: Schmidtea mediterranea
Lineage: Eukaryota; Metazoa; Platyhelminthes; Tricladida; Dugesiidae
Description: sme-miR-124e-3p
Gene: sme-miR-124e-3p
Source: miRBase by way of RNAcentral